RNAcentral lists this unclassified non-coding RNA (587 nucleotides) under Bombus terrestris (buff-tailed bumblebee). Its description in RNAcentral is "misc RNA ENSBTSG00005026493.1". The record is from RNAcentral. Lineage: Eukaryota; Metazoa; Arthropoda; Insecta; Hymenoptera; Apidae.
AGUUUCUCGUUGCCCGACUUUUCCAGCAUCAGCGAUUUGUUUUCUCAGUUCCCCGGCAUCGUACAGAUUCCUCCUGACCUGCCAGACUUUGGAUCCAUCGCCAGUAACAUUCCAAGUAUUUCUCAACUACCAGGGAUUUUACAGAUCCCCGGAAUUUCCCAGCUGUCAACCGGGUUUCCCACGUUGUCGACGCAGCCUGGCGAACUCGCGGCACGAUCAGACUCGCAAAAUUCGCAGAGCGAUACGCGCGCAGAAGCCCAGGAGGGCAACUCGAAAGGAGACCCAACGAUCACGCCGUCAACAAUGACGGAGCCGUCCCAGGAUACGCAAACCAACCGCCAGGCAUCCUCAUAGACAUCUCCAACGAGAAAGUCGACUUGUCCGAUACUGAUAGAGAAGCAGCAACUAUCGAUUCAAAAUCGUCGGAAGAAGUUAAAAGUAGACAACGUAGGAGCACCAUAGACGUCCUCGGCUCUUAUUACGAUAACGAAGAAGCGGACACAGCGGAUAGCUUGGCGUCUUCGAAAUCGUCGACCCUGGCGUUGCCAAACAUCACGGAAUCCGAGUACCUUCGUCUAUUGAUCAAA